AUACUUUCUGGCAGAAGAGACGCCAUGACCACGAAGGUAGUUUUCAUGGAUGAGGUUUAUCCAUUGCAUUCCAGGUGUGCUGACCCCUACACUUACCCCAAAUGCAGGAAACAAAACUGCCUAAUUUGUGGCAAUUAAGGACUGUGUCCAAGGCUUUCUUUAU
Small nuclear RNA from Cricetulus griseus (Chinese hamster), 163 nucleotides. Its record names the gene U1. It matches the Rfam family "U1 spliceosomal RNA". Rfam says of the family: U1 is a small nuclear RNA (snRNA) component of the spliceosome (involved in pre-mRNA splicing). Its 5' end forms complementary base pairs with the 5' splice junction, thus defining the 5' donor site of an intron. The record is from Ensembl. NCBI's taxonomy places the organism in Eukaryota, Metazoa, Chordata, Mammalia, Rodentia, Cricetidae.